Molecule: transfer RNA, 69 nt
Filed under: Halichoeres trimaculatus (threespot wrasse)
Lineage: Eukaryota; Metazoa; Chordata; Actinopteri; Labriformes; Labridae
Description: tRNA-Glu
Rfam family: tRNA
About the family: Transfer RNA (tRNA) molecules are approximately 80 nucleotides in length. Their secondary structure includes four short double-helical elements and three loops (D, anti-codon, and T loops). Further hydrogen bonds mediate the characteristic L-shaped molecular structure. tRNAs have two regions of fundamental functional importance: the anti-codon, which is responsible for specific mRNA codon recognition, and the 3' end, to which the tRNAs corresponding amino acid is attached (by aminoacyl-tRNA synthetases). tRNAs cope with the degeneracy of the genetic code in two manners: having more than one tRNA (with a specific anti-codon) for a particular amino acid; and 'wobble' base-pairing, i.e. permitting non-standard base-pairing at the 3rd anti-codon position.
Source: RNAcentral
GUUCUUGUAGUUAAAGCAUAACAGUGGCUUUUCAAGCCACCAAUCCUGGUUAGAGUCCUGGCAAGAAUU